Molecule: ribosomal RNA, 938 nt
Filed under: Multifurca zonaria
Lineage: Eukaryota; Fungi; Basidiomycota; Agaricomycetes; Russulales; Russulaceae
Description: eukaryotic LSU rRNA
Rfam family: Eukaryotic large subunit ribosomal RNA
Source: RNAcentral
AACUUAAGCAUAUCAAUAAGCGGAGGAAAAGAAACUAACAAGGAUUCCCCUAGUAACUGCGAGUGAAGCGGGAAAAGCUCAAAUUUAAAAUCUGGCGGUCUUUGGCCGUCCGAGUUGUAAUUUAGAGAAGCGUCUUCCGCGCCAGACCGUGCACAAGUCUCCUGGAAUGGAGCGUCAUAGAGGGUGAGAAUCCCGUCUUUGGCAUGGAUCCCCUGGUGCUUCUGUGAUGCGCUCUCAAAGAGUCGAGUUGUUUGGGAAUGCAGCUCAAAAUGGGUGGUGAACUCCAUCUAAAGCUAAAUAUUGGCGAGAGACCGAUAGCGAACAAGUACCGUGAGGGAAAGAUGAAAAGCACUUUGGAAAGAGAGUGAAACAGUACGUGAAAUUGUUGAAAGGGAAACGCUUAAAGUCAGUCGCGUCGACUGAGACUCAGCCUUGCCUUGGCUUGGUGAACUUCUCAGCCGACGGGUCAGCAUCAAUUUUGCYCCUUGGAUAAUGGCAAGGGAAAGGUGGCACCCUUUUGGGUGUGUUAUAGUCCCCUGUCGCAUGCAAGGGUCAGGAUUGAGGAACUCAGCGUGCACCUUUGUUGGUGUCGGGGCUUCGGCUCACGUCACGCGCUUAGGAUGCUGGCGUAAUGGCUUUAAACGACCCGUCUUGAAACACGGACCAAGGAGUCUAACAUGCCCGCGAGUGUUCGGGUGGAAAACCCGUGCGCGUAAUGAAAGUGAAAGUUGGGACCUCUGUCGUGGAGGGCACCGACGCCCGGACCAGACCUUCUGUGACGGAUCUGCGGUUGAGCGUGUAUGUUGGGACCCGAAAGAUGGUGAACUAUGCCUGAAUAGGGUGAAGCCAGAGGAAACUCUGGUGGAGGCUCGUAGCGAUUCUGACGUGCAAAUCGAUCGUCAAAUUUGGGUAUAGGGGCGAAAGACUAAUCGAACCAU